UUUCCGUAGGUGAACCUGCGGAAGGAUCAUUAUUGUAUAACCGAGGUGCGAGGGCUGUCGCUGACCCGAAAGGUCGUGCACGCCCGAGUGCCCUCACACACAUCCAUCUCACCCCUAUGUGCACCACCGCGUGGGUCCCCCUUUGGCUUGUUCGGAGGGGGGCUUACGCUUUCACACAAACUUUGUAUGCAGUGUAGAAUGUAUUUUUUGUUUUUGCGAUCACGCAAUCAAUACAACUUUCAACAACGGAUCUCUUGGCUCCC
Molecule: unclassified non-coding RNA, 263 nt
Filed under: plant metagenome
Description: partial contains small subunit ribosomal RNA, internal transcribed spacer 1, and 5.8S ribosomal RNA
Source: RNAcentral